This 19-nucleotide ribosomal RNA is filed under the name Ochlerotatus diantaeus. RNAcentral's name for it is "partial 28S ribosomal RNA". Lineage: Eukaryota; Metazoa; Arthropoda; Insecta; Diptera; Culicidae. The record is from RNAcentral.
CCUCACAUAAUGUGUGACU